AUUGAACGCUGGCGGCAGGCCUAACACAUGCCAGUCGAGCGGAUGAAGGGAGCUUGCUCCUGGAUUCAGCGGCGGACGGGUGAGUAAUGCCUAGGAAUCUGCCUGGUAGUGGGGGAUAACGUCCGGAAACGGGCGCUAAUACCGCAUACGUCCUGAGGGAGCAAGUGGGGGAUCUUCGGACCUCACGCUAUCAGAUGAGCCUAGGUCGGAUUAGCUAGUUGGUGGGGUAAAGGCCUACCAAGGCGACGAUCCGUAACUGGUCUGAGAGGAUGAUCAGUCACACUGGAACUGAGACACGGUCCAGACUCCUACGGGAGGCAGCAGUGGGGAAUAUUGGACAGUGGGCGAAAGCCUGAUCCAGCCAUGCCGCGUGUGUGAAGAAGGUCUUCGGAUUGUAAAGCACUUUAAGUUGGGAGGAAGGGCAGUAAGUUAAUACCUUGCUGGUUUGACGUUACCAACAGAAUAAGCACCGGCUAACUUCGUG
RNAcentral lists this ribosomal RNA (484 nucleotides) under uncultured bacterium. RNAcentral describes it as "partial 16S ribosomal RNA". It matches the Rfam family "Bacterial small subunit ribosomal RNA", at positions 30 to 507 of the family's 1533-position model. The record is from RNAcentral.